Molecule: unclassified non-coding RNA, 204 nt
Filed under: Ascomycota sp.
Lineage: Eukaryota; Fungi; Ascomycota
Description: partial contains small subunit ribosomal RNA, internal transcribed spacer 1, and 5.8S ribosomal RNA
Rfam family: Eukaryotic small subunit ribosomal RNA (bases 1-47)
Source: RNAcentral
AAAGUCGUAACAAGGUCUCCGUUGGUGAACCAGCGGAGGGAUCAUUAGCGAGUAUAACUCUCUAAACCCAUUGUGAACGAACAGACCGGUUGCUUCGGCGGACGUCUUACGGCCGCCGAAAGAACUCAAACUAUUGUUAUUAUUGUUUCUCUGAGUAUCUUAUUUAAUAAGUUAAAACUUUCAACAACGGAUCUCUUGGUUCUG